Ictidomys tridecemlineatus (thirteen-lined ground squirrel) is the source of this 833-nucleotide long non-coding RNA. RefSeq lists it as uncharacterized. The record is from RefSeq and is a predicted model, not a curated record. NCBI's taxonomy places the organism in Eukaryota, Metazoa, Chordata, Mammalia, Rodentia, Sciuridae.
UCCCUCACUGCCGGCGCGGCCGCGCGACCGCCAUGGGGCGCCACGCAAGGGCGCAGAGCUCCUACGCGCAGCGCUGCGCGUCUCGGCAGCCCACCCCGGCCAACCUUCGCCACGGAUCCCCACUGCCGGUAGUCACGACUCCUCCUCAGCGGCACCGGAGGAAAUUAUUGAAAAAUGGCGGGAGAUUCCCCUCCUCCCCCCGCCGGGCCAGCGCACACACUAACUUGCUCCCCAGUGGCGCCGACAGCGAAUGCUCCAAUAGGCGGACAGCUGGUCAGCGCUCACUGCCUAUUGGCUCGGAGCAGCUGCCGCUCUGCGUCUGGGUCCCGCCCCGCUGCCCCUGCUGCGUAGUUGGGUUGCAGCGCACUAGAGGGCAGUCUGAAGAGGUGAAAGGUCACGUUAUGUAAGCGCUGGUGACAGGCUCACGGGCCACCAGCGGCGGAGUUAAAUGUGGGGGACUGCGGGAACCGAAAGGCUGCGAACUAAAGGAGGCGAGGCUUGUUGGAAAGGGUAACAUAGGAGGGUCUUCGGAAUGAGAAGUUAAAGGACAUCUCAGAAUACGUGCAUUCAUCCAUCAGAUGUGUUCACCAUCACCCGACGAUGUUCCUGGCGCCGUGCUGGAUGCUCUCGGGGGAAAAAAACAAGAGGAGAGACUGCCCUAAAAAUAUAACAGACGCAAAAAAUCAAGAGUUCUGUGUUAAGUGCGCAGCGAGAAAGCGGCCGACUGCCGGAGGGCACGGAGCCUGAGCGGCUACAGCCGGCACCCACAGAGUCCAGAAUCUGGACAGAACAACCAGAAAUGCGCUGAUUAAAUCCUCUCCUUAUUAAAUGGC